This 63-nucleotide transfer RNA is filed under the name Raymondia sp. A GC-2023a. Its description in RNAcentral is "tRNA-Cys". It matches the Rfam family "tRNA". From Rfam's summary of the family: Transfer RNA (tRNA) molecules are approximately 80 nucleotides in length. The record is from RNAcentral. Lineage: Eukaryota; Metazoa; Arthropoda; Insecta; Diptera; Streblidae.
AGCUUUAUAGUCAAAUAUGAUAUUAGACUGCAAUUCUAAUGGUGUAAAAAUUUACUAAGGCUU